This 495-nucleotide ribosomal RNA is filed under the name uncultured bacterium. RNAcentral's name for it is "bacterial SSU rRNA". It matches the Rfam family "Bacterial small subunit ribosomal RNA", at positions 28 to 509 of the family's 1533-position model. The record is from RNAcentral.
GAUGAACGCUAGCGGCAGGCUUAAUACAUGCAAGUUGAGGGGCAGCAUGAUAUACGCGAGUAUAUUGAUGGCGACCGGCGGACGGGUGAGUAAUAGGUAGGAGACCUACCUCAUACAGGGGGAUAGCAUAGAGAAAUCUGUGGUAAUACCCCAUGAGGUUAUAUGAAUAGAGGCAUAUAAUCAAAGCAUAAGCGAUUAUGCGGUAUGAGAGGGGCCUACUGACCAUUAGCUAGUUGGUGAGGUAAGGGCUCACCAAGGCGAAGAUGGUUAGGGGUUUUGAGAGAGAGACCCCCCACAUUGGAACUGAGAGACGGUCCAGACUCCUACGGGAGGCAGCAGUAGGGAAUAUUGGGCAAUGGGCGAAAGCCUGACCCAGCCAUGCCGCGUGAAGGAAGACGGCCUUAUGGGUUGUAAACUUCUUUACUACGCGAAUAGAGGUUAGUACGAGAUACUAAUAGGAAGGUAGUGUAGUAAAAGCACCGGCUAACUCGUGCC